GUAGGUGGCAAGCGUUGUCCGGAAUUAUUGGGCGUAAAGCGUGCGCAGGCGGUUCUUUAAGUCUGAUGUGAAAGCCCACGGCUCAACCGUGGAGGGUCAUUGGAAACUGGAGAACUUGAGUACAGAAGAGGAAAGCGGAAUCCCACGUGUAGCGGUGAAAUGCGUAGAGAUGUGGAGGAACACCAGUGGCGAAGGCGGCUUUCUGGUCUGUAACUGACGCUGAGGCGCGAAAGCGUGGGGAGCAAACAGGGAUUAGAUACCCUGGUAGUCCACGCCGUAAACGAUGAGUGCUAAGUGUUAGGGGGGUUUUCCGCCCCCUUAGUGCUGCAGCUAACGCAUUAAGCACUCCGCCUGGGGAGUACGGCCGCAAGGCUG
RNAcentral lists this ribosomal RNA (375 nucleotides) under uncultured organism. RNAcentral's name for it is "partial 16S ribosomal RNA". It matches the Rfam family "Bacterial small subunit ribosomal RNA", at positions 527 to 896 of the family's 1533-position model. The record is from RNAcentral.